Molecule: long non-coding RNA, 206 nt
Organism: Eubalaena glacialis (North Atlantic right whale)
Lineage: Eukaryota; Metazoa; Chordata; Mammalia; Artiodactyla; Balaenidae
Exons: 3
Source: RefSeq, a predicted model, not a curated record
AAAUGAUUACAACUCGCUGAAGACUCAUGAUGGUUAGCAUUUUUUAGCAAUAAAGUCUUUUUUAAUUAAGUGGUCUAGAACCAAACCUGCAAUAUCUCCGAGGUACGCCUGUACCCAUGUAAUGAAGGAGAAACAUGAGAGUGGUGACCAAUGUGACUGGACUUAGUCUGGUGAGGUGUACGCUAUUGGAGAUUUGCUCCCAUAAA